UAGGGCGCUUAGUCAGGGGGAGUAGACGCGAAACUUUGUGAUCUACCCAUGAGCAGGUUGAAGUUGUGGUAACACACAAUGGAGGACCGAACCAGUUUACGUUGAAAAGUAUUUGGAUGACUUGUGGGUAGGGGUGAAAGGCCAAUCAAACUGAGAAAUAGCUCGUACUCCCCGAAAUGUUUUUAGGAACAGCCUCGGACGUAUUCUGCUGCAGGUAAAGCUACCGAUAGGACUAGGGGGAGUCAAAUCCUACCAAAUCCUGACGAACUCUGAAUGGCAGCAGAUCAUUAUCCGGGAGUGAGGGCUGGGGUGCUAAGGUCCCAGUCCGAGAGGGAAAGAACCCAGACCAUCAGCUAAGGUCCCCAAAUCUAUACUAAGUUGAACUAAGGAGGUCCGAUUGCAGAGACAGCCAGGAUGUUAGCUUGGAAGCAGCUAUUCAUUUAAAGAGUGCGUAACAGCUCACUGGUCGAGCGAGGCGGGCAUCGAUAAUAAACGGGCAUCAAGUAUAGUACCGAAGCUAUGGAUUGUAUAGAAGACUAUACACUGGUAGGGGAGCAUUCUGUAUGCAGCGAAGGUGUAGCGACAAGCUAUGUUGGAGCGUACAGAAAAGCAAAUGUAGGCAUAAGUAACGAUAAUGUGGGCGAGAAACCCACACGCCGAAAGACUAAGGUUUCCUCAGCUAUGCUAAUCAACUGAGGGUUAGUCGGGGGCUAAGGGUCUAGCGAAAGCGACAAUCUAAUGCACAUCAGGUUAAUAUUCCUGAACUUAUAUAAUGGGAAACAAGCUGACGGAUUGACGUGGUUUGCAGGUACUGACGGAAUAGUGCCUCUGAGAAGAAGUCGCAAGACAGAAACGAGCAAGCGAAGACGAUUCCAAGAAAAGGUUUGAAUCUGACUGUUAUAUAACCCGUACCGUAAACCGACACAGGUGGUCGGGAAGAGAAUUCUAAGGCGCUCGAGUGAAUCACGGUUAAGGAACUCGGCAAAUUGACCCUGUAACUUCGGGAGAAGGGGGGCCUACUCGCAAGAGAGGUCGCAGAGAAAUGGCCCAGGCGACUGUUUAACAAAAACACAUGGCUAUGCUAAAUCGAAAGGUGACGUAUAUGGCCUGACACCUGCCCGGUGCUGGAAGGUUAAGAGGGGAUGUUAGCGCAAGCGACGCAUUGAAUUGAAGCCCCAGUAAACGGCGGCCGUAACUAUAACGGUCCUAAGGUAGCGAAAUUCCUUGUCGGGUAAGUUCCGACCUGCACGAAUGGUGUAACGAUCUGGGCACUGUCUCAACCGUGAGCUCGGUGAAAUUGAAGUAUCGGUGAAGAUGCCGAUUACCCGCAAUGGGACGAAAAGACCCCGUGAACCUUUACUAUAACUUCACAUUGUGCUUGAAUAUAAGAUGUGUAGGAUAGGUGGGAGACGUUGAAGUGUGCACGCUAGUGUGUAUGGAGUCGCCGUUGAAAUACCACCCUUUUUAUAUUUAGGUCCUAACUCGUUUGAAGAAUGAGGACAGUGUGUGGCGGGUAGUUUGACUGGGGUGGUCGCCUCCGAAAGAGUAACGGAGGCUUGCAAAGGUACCCUCAGUGCCGUUGGUAACGGUACGUAGAGCAUAUUAGUAGAAGGGUGCUUGACUGAGAGACUGACGGGUCGAUCAGGGUCGAAAGACGGCUAAAGUGAUCCGGUGUUUCCGCAUGGAAGGGACAUCGACAAAAAGAAAAAGUACUCUGCGUUUGGCCGCUCGU
Molecule: ribosomal RNA, 1732 nt
Filed under: Asellus aquaticus
Lineage: Eukaryota; Metazoa; Arthropoda; Malacostraca; Isopoda; Asellidae
Description: bacterial LSU rRNA
Rfam family: Bacterial large subunit ribosomal RNA
Source: RNAcentral